Molecule: non-coding RNA, 74 nt
Organism: Schistocerca gregaria
Lineage: Eukaryota; Metazoa; Arthropoda; Insecta; Orthoptera; Acrididae
Source: the annotation of a RefSeq genome assembly
GGUUCCGUGGUGUAGUUGGUUAUCACAACUGCUUAACACGCAGUAGGUCGGCGUUUCGAUCACGCCCGGAAUCA